This 484-nucleotide ribosomal RNA is filed under the name uncultured bacterium. RNAcentral's name for it is "partial 16S ribosomal RNA". It matches the Rfam family "Bacterial small subunit ribosomal RNA", at positions 30 to 507 of the family's 1533-position model. The record is from RNAcentral.
AUUGAACGCUGGCGGCAGGCCUAACACAUGCAAGUCGAGCGGAUGAAGGGAGCUUGCUCCUGGAUUCAGCGGCGGACGGGUGAGUAAUGCCUAGGAAUCUGCCUGGUAGUGGGGGAUAACGUCCGGAAACGGGCGCUAAUACCGCAUACGUCCUGAGGGAGAAAGUGGGGGAUCUUCGGACCUCACGCUAUCAGAUGAGCCUAGGUCGGAUUAGCUAGUUGGUGGGGUAAAGGCCUACCAAGGCGACGAUCCGUAACUGGUCUGAGAGGAUGAUCAGUCACACUGGAACUGAGCCGCGGUCCAGACUCCUACGGGAGGCAGCAGUGGGGAAUAUUGGACAAUGGGCGAAAGCCUGAUCCAGCCAUGCCGCGUGUGUGAAGAAGGUCUUCGGAUUGUAAAGCACUUUAAGUUGGGAGGAAGGGCAGUAAGUUAAUACCUUGCUGUUUUGACGUUACCAACAGAAUAAGCACCGGCUAACUUCGUG